Non-coding RNA from Anneissia japonica, 73 nucleotides. The record is from the annotation of a RefSeq genome assembly. NCBI's taxonomy places the organism in Eukaryota, Metazoa, Echinodermata, Crinoidea, Comatulida, Comatulidae.
GUCUCCGUGGUCUAAUGGGUAUGUUACUCGCCUAUACAGCGAGAGGUUGCAGGUUCGAAUCCCGCCAGAGACA